GAUCCUGGCUCAGGAUGAACGCUAGCGACAGGCUUAACACAUGCAAGUCGAGGGGCAGCAUGAACUUAGCUUGCUAAGUUUGAUGGCGACCGGCGCACGGGUGAGUAACGCGUAUCCAACCUGCCUACCACUUGGGGAUAACCUUGCGAAAGUAAGACUAAUACCCAAUGACAUCCCACGAAGACAUCUGAAUGGGAUUAAAGAUUUAUCGGUGAUGGAUGGGGAUGCGU
RNAcentral lists this ribosomal RNA (230 nucleotides) under uncultured bacterium. RNAcentral's name for it is "partial 16S ribosomal RNA". It matches the Rfam family "Bacterial small subunit ribosomal RNA", at positions 15 to 236 of the family's 1533-position model. The record is from RNAcentral.